This 469-nucleotide ribosomal RNA is filed under the name uncultured bacterium. Its description in RNAcentral is "partial 16S ribosomal RNA". It matches the Rfam family "Bacterial small subunit ribosomal RNA", at positions 27 to 507 of the family's 1533-position model. The record is from RNAcentral.
GGACGAACGCUGGCGGCGUGCUUAACACAUGCAAGUCGAACGGAAAGGCCCUGCUUUUGUGGGGUGCUCGAGUGGCGAACGGGUGAGUAACACGUGAGUAACCUGCCCUUGACUUUGGGAUAACUUCAGGAAACUGGGGCUAAUACCGGAUAGGAGCUCCUGCUGCAUGGUGGGGGUUGGAAAGUUUCGGCGGUUGGGGAUGGACUCGCGGCUUAUCAGCUUGUUGGUGGGGUAGUGGCUUACCAAGGCUUUGACGGGUAGCCGGCCUGAGAGGGUGACCGGCCACAUUGGGACUGAGAUACGGCCCAGACUCCUACGGGAGGCAGCAGUGGGGAAUAUUGCACAAUGGGCGGAAGCCUGAUGCAGCAACGCCGCGUGCGGGAUGAUGGCCUUCGGGUUGUAAACCGCUUUCGCCUGUGACGAAGCGUGAGUGACGGUAAUGGGUAAAGAAGCACCGGCUAACUACGUG